Molecule: long non-coding RNA, 6170 nt
Filed under: Phocoena sinus (vaquita)
Lineage: Eukaryota; Metazoa; Chordata; Mammalia; Artiodactyla; Phocoenidae
Description: lncRNA (ENSPSNG00000015698.1)
Source: RNAcentral
GAUCAUGGCAGGGUUAUGCAGGGCACUCUUUCCUCUUUGGCCUUCUAAGCAGACUGGGGAGAAGGGAUUCUCUGGUUUUCUCUUUUCGCCCAUUUAUUAGGACUUGCCUUCUCCCUGGACAGGGAGAGAGGCUAGGUUGGUGCUCUCCCCUUACUCUACUCCUACUGACUUAGAACCUCUGGCUGCUGUUUGGGAGCCCAAGAAAGGUAGUGGAGGUUAUGGGCUCAAAACAAAAGAAAACAAAGCAAAAAAACAAUAAGGUGGGGAAGGCAGAUUUCCUUCUUUAAAAAGGAAAAUAGGAAACCCUCCAAGGAUUGUGCAAGUAAAGACAAUAUGUCGAAUGCACUGACCCCCCUGGUGUAGUAGCAAUAAGGAAAAAUGAAAUGACUUUCCUGUGCACACAGUCCAACCUGAUUGGUGUGUGAUGUUGCACUUAGCAGCCAUCUGGUGGGCAUGUGUGUCUACUCUGGGUUUCACUUUAGUUUCUAAACUUUUUAUCCCUCUCAAGUCCAGCAUGGUUGGGGAAAUGUCCCUGGAGCCCCACAGCUGUGUACUUGUUUGCAUUUGUUUCCCUUUGAGACUUGUGUUUGUGUCCUGCUUUGAGCUGUACCUUGUCCAGUCCAUUGUAAAAUUAUCCCAGCAGCUGUAAUAUACAGUUUCUUCUGAAGCAAGCAACAGCAGCAGCACAAUUCUGUGUUUUAUAAAGACAACAGUGGCUUCUAUUUCUAAAGUGCGGACUCUCUCUCUUUUUUUUUCCUUAGCAAAGCAAACUGUUGGGAUUAAUUAUAAUCUCUGAUAGAUUUUACGUUAGAAUAACAGAUUGUUAGAAGAGCAGAACCAUCACUUUCUAAAGGAGUAAAGUGGGUAAAACAAAUUCCGGAGUGUUGAAACUGCAGAUUGUAUGUAAUCACAGGUCCUCCAUUUAUUCUUCAUUCAACAAACAUGCAAAGCACUGUGUCUAGAAGUAUUAUGAGGGGAGUAAGCAGGCACAAUUCAAAAAUGAGGAAAACAGUGUUUCUCUCUUUAAGGAGUUUAAAAAGUUUGGUGGUGGAUAUCAGUAGCCAGAUGGUUCUCUGGUACCAUUUAGAGAGAUUAUGAGGACUGGAACAAGGCUCUAGGGCUGUAUCAAUGAAGAUAGAAAGGAAAGCGCAAAUUGGAGAGACACUUGGGGAGAUAGAAUUAAUAGGACUCCAUGGAUGAUGGAACAGGAAGAGAGGAGUAGAGGCUAAUAAUGUUCACUCUUCUUGAGCAAGUGAGUAUAUUGGGACAUUCCUCUAGCCAAGACUGGGGGGAAAGGGAGACUAUAGAAGGAAGGUGGUACAUUUUGUGAAGAAAGACAAUUAGCCUUGUUUAGACUGAGUUUUGAGGUUCCCAUGGGGUAACAAGGUUAAGGUUUCCAGUAAACAUUUAUGUUUUGGUGCUCAGGGAAGACUGCAAAACUGUAGUUAUAGAUAUGGAAUUCAUAAUCAUAUAGAUGGUAGGUAAAACCAUAGGAAUGAACAAGAUGGCUUAGAGAAAGAGUAGAGCAAGAGAAACCUAGUGUACGAAUGUAGGAAACAAGAGAUGAGGAGAGGAAGUAGAACCUAAGAUGACAGAUCACACAUAGAUACCUUGUAUGUUUUUGACUGCUUUAAUGAGAUGGGAGAAUAGUCAAGAGUGGAAUAGGAUUUAAGAAAGACAAGAUUAACAACAUGAAAACUGCUGCAGUGAAGGGGGAGGGUUAUUUUUUUCUACUUAGUUUGCUGUCUUCCACACCAUCUUCUCUGGGAUCUCGUAAGUAUAUGGUCAUUCUCCAGUAUUUUUUGAAAAUGAGCAUUGGAAAACCUAACUUAAACCAGGCCAAGACUGGGACUUCCAGGUUGUUCACCACAACCACCAGCACCAUUUCCACCUCCAGCUUCCUCCUAUCCUCAGGAGAUGCUUGUAAAAGAAUAAAAUAAACAAACCUAAUUUUGCUCCUAACUAGUGUCAUAGGUGGUGUUCCAGUGCACUCAGUAGCACUUAGCAACUUGCUCUAUUUACUCUCAUGACUUGUUUUCCCCAGAGCCUGUGAACUUCUAGGAGCAGAAGCUACAUUCUAUUCAUUUUCAUCAUCUCAGGGCCAUAGUGUGUAUUGUGGGGGUGUGUGUGUGUGUGUGUCAAUAUUUGUGAGUAGAAAUGAGCUAGAAAUCUGUGGUUCUUGAGUACAGAGGGGAGAAUCAAGAAGUGAUACUGAGUCUGCAGGAUGGGCUCAGUAUUCCUGAAUCUUCAGGUAAGCAGAAACAACCAGAUUAUCAUCACCUUUUCUUACUCUCACCCCAGCUUCAAGGUUCUAUGAUUUUGUGCCUUAAACUGUUGGUGCAGUUGUCAAGCAUGUAAGUUCAGCAUGCCUCCCUGGUACUCCUAGAUUAUUGUUAUUUCUGUGUAUUGGGGGAAGAUGGCACAGAGAAGGAUUCUGGCACAGGGCCCAGUGAGAAAUUUCAGUGGCAGUUAGUAUGUACAAGAGUGGGCCUAGCAUUUCUCUGGAGGCCAAGUGUUCAAAUUGCUAACCUUUGGCUACCCCUGCCAGAUUUGCUUGGAAGCAAGCCAGCCAGACCCAUGCUCCUUUUCACCAGCAAGGAGUAGUGAGGUUGGUUGGACUUGAAGAGCAAACUGGAACAUGGAGGAGAUUUUUCCCAGUUGAAACAAGACAAAUUUAUGACCGUUAAUGAAGCAGAAAGUGUUUAGCAGAGCAAAUGGGAAGAUAAUCAUUAUACCACGUUUUGGUUAUAAAUUUCAUUGCCAUAAAUGAAUGAUGUUAAAAAGAUUUCAGCAUUUGGCUCUUGGUUGCUACUCAAGAGAAAAACAUGGUGGGAGCCCAAGGCCUGAUUUAUCUGGUCCUAGAGCUCAAGGUUUGAUUUAAGGCUUGUCCUAGCACCCCUGGAUAUCCCUUUUCAGGAUUGGUUGAGCAGCCUUCCCUCUGCCCUGUCAGUUGGCAUCAUAUACUGUAGCACAUUGUUGUCUGUCAAGUGCCUUUAGGGUAGAAUGAGGCUGUGUAUUUGUUGGGUAUCACUUGGCUUAAUAGACCCCAGAAUCACAUGGCAGUUAGGGUUUGGCGGCUAAAGGAAAGGGUUAUAGUGCAAAAAGAAGAAUAUUUUCAAGUUCUGAGCCUGGGCCAUCCUCAGACUACUGUCUGUACUGCUUGAAUGUAAAGAAGCAUCGAAUUGGGAAAUUAGCUCUCCAUUUUUCUUCCUAGUUUUCAAGAUAUUUAUUCCUUUGGCUGUAAGCUAAGGAAGCCUGGCAGGCUUAGAAAGUGCACAGAGCAUGACAGAAGCACUCUUUUAAAGCAGCAGUGUUGAGGAGCUGGAAAAGUGGACUUGCUGGAGGUGAGGUGCAUUUAGAAGCUCUCCAUUUAAGUACCACAACUACCUUCCCAGGAUACCGUAUCAAGAUUUUUUAGGCCACCGUGGCUUACCCUGCAGGAACACACUGUCCUCUUAUUCUAGACUGCAGCAGCUUCACCACUGUCCUCUUGGCAGUGUCUUUUUGGGACAAAGAAAUUUUGAGGAACUUUUCUGGGGACCUUCCCCACCUUCUGAAGGCAAGGAACUUGCCUUAUAAAAGAGGCAGUGGGAGCUCCUAGCCAGGUUUUUGGGUUGUUAAUGGAAGUGAACUGGAAAAGGAAUAGGGACUUCGGGUACUUUGAAGUACUUGGCUAGGUGUUUUGUACAGUAUCCAUUAUAAUUUGGUUGUAUCUUCACAGCAUUCGUGUGAAGUAGUUUAUCAGUUACCUUCAAUUGCAAUAGCAAAACCCAAGUAAAUUGGCUUAAAUAAGGAAACUAUCACAUGACAAGAAGUCCUGAUUUCAUAUGGCUCCAAGGUUGGAUAAUUCACUGGCUCAAUGAUAAUAUCAACAUAACAGAUUAUUGCAAUCUUUUUGCUCUGCUAUCCUUUGUGUUGUUUUAUCCUCAUACUAGUUCACCUCAGGAUCCCAAGAUGGCUGCUAUAAUUCCAGGAAGGAAAUGCUGACAGAACAAAGUCUAGCAGAAGAGGGACUAAUUUUUCCCAAUGUUUCAUUUUAAAGAAAGGGAAUCCCUGGAAGCCCCAGCAGAUCUGGCUUAAUGUCUCAUUUGCUAGAAAUGGGUCAUUUUCCCACUAUUCUGUCAUUGGCAAAGCAAAUGAGAUCAUCCAUCAUGAGUGGCUUAGAUUAAUUACAAGUUAUCCUAUGAGUCAUGUGGAUUAGAAAGACAAAUCAUGUUUGCUAGGUGAGAAGGGAUAAAAGGCUCUUGGGUAGGCAUCAAGCAGUGUCUGCUCUACCUAGCUACUCUGGGUUUUACAGAUGAGGAAUGUGAUGUUCAGAGAGAGUGACUUUCCAAGAAUCACAGAUAGUAGCAGAGGGCCUUCAGUGUCAGCUCUGACUGUCCCUAAAGCCAGUAUGUUUUAUAUUGUGUUCUGCUGCAGUACAAAGUAGCUUCCUUUCUGCCGUGUAAAAAUUGCUUGUCUCGGAGAAGAGAUUUCAAAGUGUCAAGUCGGCUAACUUCAGCCCAUGCAAGAGGAAAGGGUUCUAUCCAGUUGCUUUCCUCAUCCAGUGAUGUUUUUCUAGCACAGGAAGCUUGGAAUGCAACUUUCAGAGGGCACUGAUUUCUUUGCCCCCAAGAUUUCUGUACUAUUUUACAGUUCUCCCUUCUGAGAGCAACCAGUACCACAAGGGAUGAGGGCAGAGUUGCCAUUUUUGAAGCCCACUUAUUUAUUGGUCCAUCCACCUGCCCCACAGAUAUUUAUGGGAUGCUGCUAUGUACGAGGCACAGGCACUGUUCUAGGCACUGGGGCUAUGACAGUUAAGAUACACAAAGACCCUGCACCAUACCCUUAAAAGCAGACUCAUUUGGGAAUGAGGUUGUCCAAAACUAGGAUGUGCAUGUUGUCGGGAGAGCCUCAUACAGCUUGGCUUUGGGCAGAAUCAUUCAAACUUUUUUGCCUUCCUACUUCCUGAUAUUACAAUUCGUGAGCCUUUCAUAAUGGGCUCACAGGUGGGGUCCAUGGAUAGCAGAGGUAGAUGGGAAGGGAUCAUUGACAUUUAUUAAAUUGGGCUGAAUUAGAAGGUCCCAAUCCUGUUAAAUCCAUGUCAACAAAGCCAAGAAGCUUGCAGUCAUUUAGGGAACCAGUUGAGGGGGUUGACGGGUGAAAGACUCUAUUUACCCCUGUUGAAUGCUGCUAAGGACUUGGAUUGUGUAGAGUCAAAGAUUGAAAAUAACUUUUAAGAUAGUGUUUCAUCUAGUGACAUUUGAUAUUUUGAAAUUGGGGAGGGCAUUUUCAGUAUAAGGGGUAAGGAUGGGAAGGAAGAAGUGAGGCAGAAUUGGAGUCAGAUAUGGGUUUGAAUCCCAUCCAUUUAUUAAGUGUUUACUAUAGGUGCAUCUAAUAAGUGCUUUAAGAUGAUAACAAUAGUAAAUGCCCUCACUAACAUUUAGGGAGGAUUUUCUCGGUGCUUUAUGUACAUUCCCUAACUUCACAACAACUGUGAGGAAACUAAAGCCCAGAGGUUCAAGUGACUGAUCCAAGUCCCACAGUGACUGGGGGUGGGGGGGGAACUAAAGAUAGGAUUUUCCCUCCCUUUCCUCUUUGUCCCAAGCUUUAAAAAAAUAAUGUAUUUUGAUUGUUAAAAGUCUAAACAUUACUGAUACUCAGAGACAGGGAAAAAUCAUGAAUCAUUCCUCAACCUGAAUAAAAUAGUAUCACAUUUCUUUCAGGCAACAAAUACUAAUGUGCUGGUCUUAAUAACCUUAUAAAGCUUACAUUCUAGUGGAGGAGGGGGCACCCAAUAAACUAGUGAACAAAAAUUGCAGAUUGGGAGAGGAGUUAUUAAGGAGAUACUGUAAUAGUAUACAGGAGUACCUCACCAUAGAUCUGAGGUCCGGGAAAGGCAUCUGAAAUGUCUUGAGGUGUGAAGAGCGGUUGGGGGGCGGAGGGGAAGGGGUGAGUGUGAAGAGGAAGGAGAGGGCUCCUGGCCAAGGGAACCAGAAGCAGAGAGGCUCCAGGUCUAAUAGAAAAGCGCUUUCCCCGUUAGGGGAGGCCGACCAGUAUAGCUGUCGCAUGAUGAGGAAGAGUCUCGCUUGAGGGGAAAGGCAGGGGCCUCGUUACGCCUACAGCUGGCCCCGCUGGCCCCGGGAUGGAGUUUGGGUCCUGGUGUGACCAGGCGUUAUUAAAGAGUUUUU